UUAACUUUGGGGGUGUGGGAGUGGCAAGAGUGAAGGGUGACACCCAGGUUUCUCCUUCGGUAACUGAAUAGAUGGCCCCCCAGUCACUGAGAGAGGGAAACAUAGAGAAACACUGGACUUGGCGGACAGAAGUGGUGCCUGUGUGUGUAUGUGUGUAUGUGUGUGUAUACAUAUGUUUAUGCAUGUUUACAGGACUGAAGAUGAGAAGAAAGAUUUGGGCUAGGUGUUUCAACUUGCAUGCAUAAAAAUACAUACAUAGUAGUUGAAUCCAUGGGAGUGAAUGAAAUCUCCCAAGAAGAGAGAUAGAAGUCAAGAUAAAGAAAGUUGGUAAAGACUGUGACCAGUGUGGUUUCAGUGUUGAAUUGGGGCAGAAGCCAGCUUGGAGUGGGAGAAAAGGUACAGGGAUGUACCUACACCCAUACAUGCAUUCAAAAUGGGGCAGCAGUAACCAGAAGGUUGAACAGUUGACAGCUGGCCCUGCAAUCAAGAUGAGAUGUACUCAGCAAAGAACCUCAACUGAGGAUAUGAAGCUAGACCUUAUUUAAAUGGCAAUAUUCAAUACCUUGACCCUCAGCCUGAUGCCAUAAAAGGAUGAGGAAUAUGCUCACAUAAAACCAUCUUCCAUGAUGUGAGGAAGCCCAAGCCACACUGUGGAGAAGCCCACAUAGAAAGAAGUCAAGAUCUUUGGCUGACAGCUUCGUAGAGCUCCAUUCUGAUAAUCAGCACAUGUGAAUCAGCCAUCUCAGAAGUGAACACUCCAGCCUCGACUGAGACACCACAGCUGGUGUUGCAUAGAAUAGAGAGUAUCUAUCCCCAUUGAACCCUGUGGUAAUUGGAGAUUUGUGAGCAAAACAAAUUAUUGCUUUUGUUUUAAGCUACCAAAUGUUGAGAGGGUUUGUUAUGUAGCCAUAGAUAACCAGGACACCAUAACAUAUGGAUUAGUGAUCUAUUACUGAGCUGUUGGUCAUCUUUCCCACCUCAAAAAUUAAAUAUAUAAUCAUUCAUGAUAAACAGUAAGGUAAAUUAAUUGGAAGGUGAGAAAAAUUAAAAAAUCAAGUACAAGGGCAGAAAGUAGGGUCAGGAAUGAGGCUAAUACAAAAACACAUAUCACAAAGUCCUAAAUUUGGAAAGCUGUCAGUUUCUAAUGGAAUUAAGCAUAUACCCAACCUAUGACUCGGCAAUUCUACUCCCCAGCAUAUACCCAAGAGAAAUGAAAACAUAUAUCCAUGAAAAGAUUUUUAAAGAAUCUUCAUAAUAGCUACAUUUAUAGUGAUUCCCAAAUGGAAAAAAAUGCAAAUGGCAUUUGACAAUAAAAGAAGCCAUACCCAAAGGGUAUAAUAAUUAAUAUUGUGAUUCCACUAAUAUUAUUCCAUAUAAUUCCUCUUAAAUUACAUUCAAGAACAUGCAAAUUAAGCUAUGAUGAUAAGGAUUGUGGUAGGGGCUACCUCUAUGGGGAGAGAAAUUGACUGGAGAGGGUCAUCAGAAAAUCUCCUGAAAUGAUGGAAAUGUUUUAUAUCUUGAUUUGGGUAAUGAUUAAAUAGGCAUAUACAUAUGUAAAAAUUAAUUGUGUUAUACACUUAAGAUUAAUGUAUUUUGCUGUGUUAAUUUUACCACAAUUAAAAAUAAAUAAAUUGACACUACUGGAAAAUCCAUACAUAGCUAUCUUCCCCACUGUUUAGGCAGGUGCACUGUUAGGCAGGUUUAGGCAGGUGCAUAGAUAUAAUUCUCUCAGUGUUUUGCUCUAUCCAGGGUCAGUCACUGGGAAGGUCUAAUAGGGCUUCCCUCUCUUCUUUUUUCUCUGUAUAUUUGUUAAGAAGGAACUGCAUUUUGGUAUCAGGGACUUCCUAUGCCAAUCAUAUGAUUUGAACAGUGCUUUUGCAUUUCUUGUUUUCUGCUAGAAUGUUCUUCCAUUUCUUAUCAUUCUCUUUGGAGGUUUUUGCGUUGUUUUUGCUUGUGAUGCUUCACUUUUGACUUAUCCUAAUUUGGAAUAUAUCACUUUUCAUCAUCACUUUUACUUUCUAAUUUUUUGAUGUCAGCA
This is a long non-coding RNA of Choloepus didactylus (southern two-toed sloth), 2038 nucleotides long. RefSeq lists it as uncharacterized. The transcript has 3 exons. Lineage: Eukaryota; Metazoa; Chordata; Mammalia; Pilosa; Megalonychidae. The record is from RefSeq and is a predicted model, not a curated record.